This 580-nucleotide ribosomal RNA is filed under the name uncultured bacterium. RNAcentral's name for it is "bacterial SSU rRNA". It matches the Rfam family "Bacterial small subunit ribosomal RNA", at positions 102 to 661 of the family's 1533-position model. The record is from RNAcentral.
ACGGGUGAGUAACGCGUAGGUAACCUGCCCCUGUGUUCGGGAUAACAGUGCGAAAGCGCUGCUAAUACCGGAUGUGGCCAAGAGAUGGUGGUUUCUUGGUCAAAGUCGGCCUCUCAAAGAAGCUGACGCGCGGGGAUGGGCCUGCGUCCUAUCAGCUAGUUGGUAGGGUAACGGCCUACCAAGGCUUCGACGGGUAGCUGGUCUGAGAGGAUGAUCAGCCACACUGGCACUGAAACACGGGCCAGACUCCUACGGGAGGCAGCAGUGAGGAAUUUUGCGCAAUGGCCGCAAGGCUGACGCAGCAACGCCGCGUGGGUGAAGAAGGCCUUCGGGUCGUAAAGCCCUGUCAGGUGGGAAGAAUGUCCCAGGGAUGAAUAAGCUUUGGGAGUGACGGUACCACCAGAGGAAGCACCGGCUAACUCCGUGCCAGCAGCCGCGGUAAUACGGAGGGUGCAAGCGUUAUUCGGAAUUACUGGGCGUAAAGCGCGUGCAGGCGGGCAUGCAAGUCUGAUGUGAAAGCCCUGGGCUCAACCUGGGAAGUGCAUUGGAAACUGCAUGUCUUGAGUGUUGGAGAGGAAGG